Molecule: ribosomal RNA, 396 nt
Filed under: uncultured bacterium
Lineage: Bacteria
Description: bacterial SSU rRNA
Rfam family: Bacterial small subunit ribosomal RNA
Source: RNAcentral
AUUGAACGCUGGCGGCAUGCCUUACACAUGCAAGUCGAACGGCAGCGGACCUUCGGGUGCCGGCGAGUGGCGAACGGGUGAGUAAUAUAUCGGAACGUACCUUUCAGUGGGGGAGUAACGUAGCGAAAGUUACGCUAAUACCGCAUAUUCUGUGAGCAGGAAAGCAGGGGAUCGCAAGACCUUGCGCUGAUUGAGCGGCCGAUAUCAGAUUAGCUAGUUGGUGAGGUAAAGGACUCACCAAGGCGACGAUCUGUAGCGGGUCUGAGAGGAUGAUCCGCCACACUGGAACUGAGACACGGUCCAGACUCCUACGGGAGGCAGCAGUGGGGAAUUUUGGACAAUGGGCGCAAGCCUGAUCCAGCCAUGCCGCGUGAGUGAAGAAGGCCUCGGUUGUAA